UCCCCAUGACAUUUAGUGAUGACGUGUCUGUUUUUUAUCAAUUAACGUGUGCCACGUGUGUAAUUCCAUUUUUUUAAAAAUAAAAAAAAUGGUAUUUUUCAGAUUUUCAGCACUAAAUUCUAUUGUUGGUCACGUGCCUCCUUCUCUCAAAAUCUGAAAAAUACCAUUUUUUUUAUUUUAAAAGAAAAUGAAAUUACACACAUGGCACACAUUAAUUGAUAAAAAACAGACAUAUCAGCACUAAAUGUCAUGGGGA
This 256-nucleotide microRNA precursor is filed under the name Medicago truncatula (barrel medic). RNAcentral's name for it is "MIR2646 microRNA precursor family". It matches the Rfam family "MIR2646 microRNA precursor family". The record is from Rfam by way of RNAcentral. Lineage: Eukaryota; Viridiplantae; Streptophyta; Magnoliopsida; Fabales; Fabaceae.